CGCUUCCUUCUCAACCACCUGCACAGAAACACACAGUCCUGGUACCUGUACUCAUAAAAAAAAUAUAUAACAGUGUUUAAACACAGUAUACAGAUGACCCAUAAUGCAUUUUGAGAUUGGUAGGAAAUAAACACCAAUAGAGUACAAAUGAAGAACUCUUAACUCCAAAUGUUAAAAGCCAAAUAUGUUUGGAUGAUUUCUACAUAUUGAGGAAUGAGAAGAGCAAAAUCCUGUACACAAUGUUGGUGCAGGUAGCUGCUACUCUCCAUCUCGAGCUUCUUCAUCUCCUCCAGCUGUCGCUCCUUCAGCUGCUGCUGCUGCUUCUUCUGCAGCCAGAGGUUAAACGCUUCCUCUGCAUCACAGCACUCCCUCUGUGCACAUCCAGAGACAUGGAUACACAUGCUGCAGCGUUAACUAAUCACACACACACAAACACACACACACACACACACACACACUCCACACAAUAAAAUAUAAUCUAUAAAUGUGCCAGAACUUUCUACUGCACAUCUGUUUGUUGUGAAUAUGCUCCUGAUAUGCACCUUUCCGCUCAUCCUCUCCAUCUCCUGAGCUCUCUGCACUCUCCUCUCCUGCCGCAGCUGCUGCCUCUUCUUCAUCAUCCACGACCUGAACGCCAGCUCGUUCUCCUGACGCUUCUGCUCCUCCUCCUCAAGUCUCCGCUCUUCCUCCUGAGAAGAAAAAAAAGAGCUCUUUCUGCUGCGGCGAGAGGGAAAAGGUGGCAUGAGAUGAAACCCCGCUGGCCGACUGAACCCUACGCUUGCUGCCGUAUCUAUACACUGCCCUCUGCGUGUUGCUCGCUGAAUUGGGACGCGACCGGGGUCGUGCUGGAGGCCUGGGCGCAUAGCGAGGCUCGGAUGAGGCUGAAGAACCCGAGCUGGAGAGCAGUUUCGGGGAGGAGGACGGACUCUUGCCGGGUUCUCGUUGAGUCUCGGGGAGAGGCGGGAGCAAUCCUGGACUCUCCAUUUCUUUCAGACUCACUAGAUCAAACUUCCCGUCCUUCUCCACCAGCACUCGUCCUUCUCUCGCGCCGUCUCUGCGUGCGUCUCCUCCGCCACUUUCCUCCCGAGAGGAGAUCUUCAACUUCAGCAUGUGGCCCGAGACGUCUGCCGGACUGUCCUCCAGGUCGCUGGCGGGAACCACCAGGUCCACGAGGGUGUCUUUGAAGUGCAGACGGCGGCGACGUGUCUCGUCCGGCGCCUCCUGGUCCUUCAGCUGCCUGUUCGCCUGCUCGAUCUUCUGCUGGAUGAAUUUCUUCUCUUCUUCCACCUGUUCUUCAUCCUGCUCAUGUUUAGAAUCGCCGUCGACGUCGAACGCAUCCUCCAAAGGGUCCAUGGGCGUCGGCCAUCUUUCGUUAUCUCCAUCGUCGUCCGUGCAAAUUUUGCUCCGCCCUUCGUCAAGUUCCUUCCGUCGUUCCUCAUCUUCCAGCUCGUGGUCUAGCUGGGCUUCAAUGUCCUCGUCAUCCUGUUUUGGAAAAAGCAGGAUCGGUUACGCGCAGGACGGAAUGCGACCAUCUAAAACGGCGAGGUGUGUGCCAAUAAUCAGAUUUAUGAUACAUUGCGAUAUCUAUAAUUAAAUCCACAAUACUGUUAUUGGAAUUGUAUUGGGAAGUCAGCAAAUAAAGUCUGUCCCAUUCUUUUU
Molecule: long non-coding RNA, 1659 nt
Organism: Ictalurus furcatus (blue catfish)
Lineage: Eukaryota; Metazoa; Chordata; Actinopteri; Siluriformes; Ictaluridae
Exons: 3
Source: RefSeq, a predicted model, not a curated record